RNAcentral lists this long non-coding RNA (5046 nucleotides) under Homo sapiens (human). RNAcentral's name for it is "HSALNT0406706". Lineage: Eukaryota; Metazoa; Chordata; Mammalia; Primates; Hominidae. The record is from RNAcentral.
GGUAACUUGCUGGGUUCCUUUCCCAGCAGUGUGGAAGCUUUGUUCUUUUGCUCUUUGCGCUAAAUCUUGCUGCUGCUCACUCUGGUCUUUGGGUCAGUACUGCCUUUAUGAGCUGUAAUACUUACUGCUAAGGUCUGUAGCUUCACUUCUGAGCCAGCAAGACCAUGAACCCACCAGAAGGAGGAAACUCGGAACACAUCCAAACAUCAGAAGGAACAAACUCCAGACGCACUGCCUGUAAGAACUGUAACACUCACUGCGAGGGUCUGUGGCUUCAUUCUUGAAGUCAGUGAGACCAUAGAACCCACCAAUUCCGGACACAGGGAUAGAGCAGUGACCAUCUAAGGGCUCUCAGGGCCAGGCCGGGAGCCAGGAAGAGCAGCUGCGUCGGAGCUGGGCAGCUUUUGGGGUCCGUGGGUCACUGUCAACUGGACUUUGCAUCCAGGAAGCGUUGGUUCCUUUUACAGAGUGUCACUGUGAUAGUGGGGUGUGUUCGUGUUUUACACGUUUAAAAUGGUGCUGGAUGCCUGACAGAGCCCUCAUGACUGUUUAACACAUUUUCUUGAAAUCACAAAAUUGACUAUAAAAUGUUCCUCGGAAGUUUUCCAGACUGCGGGCAUCCUGGAACACCGGCCAGUUUUCACCUGUUUCUGGACGUUGUGUCGUGGAGCCGUCUUUGUAAGGGACUCGGAUCACGCGUUUUCUUUGCUGAGUCGCCUUCCACGUGGCUUUGUCUGUUCUGUGGUUGGGGCGUCUCCUCCCUCCCACACGGGGUGUGCUGUGCCACCCUUGGAGGGCCUUCUCCCAUCGGGCCCCGCAUCUCCCGCCUGGCCUGUGGAGUGGAGUCCCCUGCCCUUGCUGCUGCUGUGGCCUCAUCUCCCAACUCAGCCUUGGCCUCCAGUGACAGGGCUGGAACCCUGGCAGCAGAGCCACCACGGCAGCGACUCAGCUGUGGCCUCCGGUGACAGGGCCGGGACCCCAGCAGGACCUCCACCAUGGUGGCAAGGCCUGGACCCCAGUGUGGGAUCACGCUUCUGCAGGAAAGCGGCGCUUCUGAUCAGAAAAACAACACAAGGAUCUCAGAGGCAGGACAGAGUGGGAUCCGAGGGACCGCGUGGUGUUUCUGGCCCCCUUCCCUCUCGAUGGCUGAUUAUUCAGAGUGUUCACACCCAGCAAAGGAGCAGGCUGCUCGUUCCCGACUGCAGCACGGCGUGCCGGGCCGCGGUGUUCUUUCUGGAUCACUGGUUUCCUCAGCAGCAGCGCUAACAGCCGCCCGGCAUGUCGGGCUCAAUGCAUCAGGUCUAAUCAGAUGUGGCAGCUGCUGAAACCCAAAUGCCUCCAUCCAACCAAAGCAUCUCAAUGCUGCCAGUGGUCUCUGGCUGAGCCGCCUCCAAUUCAAAUGCACGUGACAGGGUCCCUGGCUGCAACCCAGGUUGGAGAAUCCGGGAUUAGAAGGCUGAGGACUUCGGACAACCAAACCCAGGUCUCUGCCAGAUGGCUGGGCCUGGCUUCACCUGUGUGUGGGUGGGAAGGAGCCGUUGGCCAACUGGUCUCUAGAGAUGGAGACCCUGACCUGGGUCAAGAGUGACGGGAGAUGCCAGGAGGACCUGGCCAGGGCGCCGUCUUGGUUUUUCACCCAUUCUGUCUUCCUUCCCUGACCCAUGACUCGGGUUUCCAAUAUUUAAAAUACUCUCAUCCUGGACCCUGCAAUCUAAAGAUGAUUUUCUUGCAGAGGCUGAGUGAGCUGGCUCUGACCCACCAGAUGUACCGGGCCCUGAGCUGGACCCUGGUGUCCAGAAGUGGACACAGCCCCUGUGGGGCUCCAGCCUGUGGGGUUGGGGGGUGAUGAGGGACUCCUUCAAGAACGGAUGCAGUGCCUGGCAGGGCUGCAGGCUGCUGCCCACAGAGGGGCCUUUGCAGCUGUCCCUGAUGAAGUUGCCUGGGCACACCAGAGUGUGGGAGAGUGGACGGCGCGGCCCCUCCUGCACUUGGAGCUGCUCUCAGAUCUUGGGCUGUGACCCCUGUGGGUGACACGAAGUUCAGUGAUUGUCCUCCUUCUGGACUGAGGGACAUCCAUCCACACGCGCCCCCUCCACAGCCCGAUCCCAUCACGUCCUGCUCGUCCAACAUGGGCCUUAGAUCCUGGGGUCUCUGCUGAGUGCCUCCCCUCUGAACGCCCGGCUGGCACUUUCACGGUGAAGCCAGCUGUCAUGGACACCGACGGCAGGUGGCCUUUCUGCGUUGUCUACCGGCUGAUCUUGAAAGUGAAAACGGACAUUGUCUGCCCUGUGGUGACCGUGUUGGGUGAUGGUCCUGGGGUCAGGCCCUGCAUGCACCUUCACCCAGGGAUGGCUUCUUAGCUGACAGCGGCUCUGCCAGGAACCACGAUCACCCUCCAGUUUGCUCUUUGUGCUGAAUUUUAUUGACAUGAAAUUCGCAUGACGCCAACUUUAUCGUUUUAAAGUGAAUGGUUAAACAGAAUGCGGCACUUUCACAGGGCGGCAUGACCCCCACCUCUGUCUGCCUUCAGAACAUUUUCAUCCCCCACGAAAGGAGGAAGCGCAGUCCCCAGGAACAGUUACUCCUCAUUUCCCCUCCCCAGCUCUGGCUUCCGCAACCACGAAUCUGCUUUCUGUCUCCGUGAAUUUGCCUCUUUCGGAUAUAUUUCACGUAAAUGGAGUCCCGUGAUAGAUGAGCUGUGUCUGCCUCUUGCGGGCAGCACAGUGUCUGGAAGGUUCUCCGUGCAGCCGCAGGGGUUGGCGCUUCCUUCCUCCCGAGGCUGACCCGGCCCCGUCGUACGGGGAGUCCACUGUGUGUCUGUCUUUUGGCUGCUGUGAGCCUGGGUGUGCCGCCUGCUCCAGCCCAUGUUUUCAGCUCUUUCAGGUGUGGAGGGAGGAGUGGAAUUGUGGGAUCAUAUUGUAACUUUAACUUUGGAAGGAUCUGCCAAAUUACCCCUCUAAUUUGUUUUCAAUUUUAUUCUUAUUUCCCUGUCACUUGUUCUUUCUUUUGACUGGUUAAAAAAAAUGGCAAAGGUCUUCAGCAAAACAAGAAGUGAGUUUCAAUUGAACCGUGAAUUAAAUAUGAUACACUCAAAAUCUGACCAAUAAUACAUUUUAAUUUUCCCCACACAUUUACGUCCACGUUAAUUUCAUGGAAAUCAAGAUGCUUUUGCCUCUGUUCUAAAGUAUUUAUUUUUUUUAAGACAGGUUCUUACUCUGUUGCCCAGGCUGGAGUGCAAUGGCGCGAUCUCAGCUCACUGCAGUCUUGACCUCCCAGGCUCAAGCAAUCCUCCUGCCUCAGCCUCCUGAGUAGCUGGGACCACAGGUGUGCAUCACCAUGCCUGGCUAAUUUGUUACAUUUUUAGUAGAGACGGGGUUUCACCAUGUUGGCCAGGCUGGUCUGGAACUCCUGACCUGAAGCGAUCCUCCCACCUCAGCCUCCCACAGUGCUGGGAUUACAGGCGUGAGCCACCACGUGCAGCCUGAAAGUAUUUUUUUUUAGAGUUUCCUAAAAGUUUCAUCAUCCCUUUUGUUUUCCUAACAAGCUGUGAAACCCAGUGGGUUUUAAUUGUGAAUCAGCACCAAAACACAUGCAGAUUUAAUUUUUAAUUGAAAUGAUGGACAAUAAACAGAAUUAAUAACUCAAAUGCUUGAAGUCUGUCAAGCAUGGUGCUUUGUCUUUGCCAUGGACAUGAAAAAGCAGCAUUCCCCUCCGGACUUGAGGCUGGGGACCUUCUGAGUCAGAGCAGCCCCUCCCUCCCCACCUCCACGGCUGUUUCCACUUUGCCAUCUCCCCAGCGGGCUCUGCCCGUCCACCUGUGAGACACUCUGACUCCACGGCUUGGCUUCUGCUUGCCCCAGGCAGUGGGAUUCGGUGGCCAGGCCCUCAUUUGUUUCCCCCUCCUCCUUUCCCCAGCAGCUCCUGGCCUGGCAUGCAGCAGGUGCUCUGCUGGGCGAGUGGGAGGAGGGAGCAUAGCCACCGCUGCAGGUGGUCUGUUUGGUGCUGGGAGACGUCAUGCGUGUGUUGUCAGGCACUGGAACCCCCUGGGAGGGUGCAGGGCAGGUUUAGGACAGCCACGUGUGCCCAGAUCUAUGAGACCUUUGUGGGCUCGACUGAGUUGGGGGCUGGGCACAGAGCUUGGAGACCUCUUACUGGGAGCUGUGUGAGUGGCAGGGCCAAGGCUGUGGGGGCUGCAGGAGCUGGUGAGGAGGCAUGUGCUCGGCCGUCAUGGGACUGUCCCUGGGACUCCUGCAGCUGGGGUAGGCUCCAGGCAGGGCUCUGAGCUGCCCCCACACACCUCCAUGCAACCCCAGCUCCAUGUGCUGCUGGAAAGUCCCUGAGUACCAGGGGGGCACCUGGGGAGGGGCCUGAGUCCUGCAGACAGACCUGGGAUGGGGGUGUCAUCCACAGGUGAGGAGUGGUCCGUGCCAGGGACAGGCAGAGCCGCCAGCAUGGGCCCUGCUGGGAUCUCCGAUUGGGAAAACCAUCCCGCCACGGGAGGUGGCCAAGGUGCGUCCCCCAGCCUAUGCAUUGGGGUCCUGGUUCCAUCCCCGCCUCUCCUGUGGGCCGCACUCAGUGCCUUUUCCAUGUAACCCGUGCCGUGUGCGGUGCUCAGAGGAGGAGCGAUCGUCAUGGGGAGCUGCAGUGCCUUUUCCAUGUAACCCGCGCCGUGUGCGGGGCUCCGAGGAGGAGAGGACGUCACGGGGAGCUGCGGUGCCUUUUCCAUGUAACCCGCGCCGUGUGCGGGGCUCGGAGGAGGAGCGGUCAUCACGGGGAGCUGCAGCGCGUCUGGUGAUGUGGGGCUCACAGGCUCCUAAUGAGGCUCUCAGUCUUGUUUAUUGCGUUCUUGCUGGAAGAUUUUUUUUCUGAAACGUAGGCACAGAAUGAACUUGAAAUAUUGAGCUCUGCUUGAAAUAAAAAUGUCUUGAUAAUUAGAACCUUUGCCUGAACAGAUUCCUGUGGGGCUGCGCUGUGCAGGCUGGUUACGGGUGGGGCUCUGCUGCCCACCGAGUCAUUGCUCAAAGGCAAACGGGUCAAGCCACCGAG